UACGUAGGUGGCGAGCGUUAUCCGGAAUGAUUGGGCGUAAAGGGUGCGUAGGCGGCCUGCUAAGUCUGGUGUAAAAGGCAGUGGCUCAACCAUUGUAUGCAUUGGAAACUGGUAGACUUGAGUGCAGGAGAGGAGAGUGGAAUUCCAUGUGUAGCGGUGAAAUGCGUAGAUAUAUGGAGGAACACCGGUGGCGAAAGCGGCUCUCUGGCCUGUAACUGACACUGAGGCUCGAAAGCGUGGGGAGCAAACAGG
RNAcentral lists this ribosomal RNA (252 nucleotides) under uncultured bacterium. RNAcentral describes it as "partial 16S ribosomal RNA". It matches the Rfam family "Bacterial small subunit ribosomal RNA", at positions 524 to 776 of the family's 1533-position model. The record is from RNAcentral.